UUAAGUACAUCUCGUGAUCGUAUCGUCUGCAUUCAUUCAUUCAUCAUGAAUUCGUCAUUUCCUAUGUGAGUAUUUCGGUAUGUUUUUUUUUUACUUCUGGAAACACAAUGACAUUAUUACGUUAUAAUAUUGUUAUUAAUCGCAAUUAAUUUGGUUUGACUGUUAUUUUCCUAUGUUUUUUUUGUUUGUUUAACAGCAAUAACGGCGCCUCCUCUCCCACAACUAUGAAGUAUCCGUAAGUACUUUUUCUUUCAUUUUCUUAGGUAAUUUUAUUAUUUUAUGUCAACAAAAGAAUUUUAAAUUUUAUUACGAGUCGUGUUCAUCUUUUCCCCUUAUUUUUCAUUUUAAUUUCAUUUGUAGUCUCUAGAGCAGCACUCCUGUAGGUCGUCCGGGAGUGAUGACGCUCAAGCGGCGUCUCUCCUACCAGGGAGAACUACCUUCCCCCGUGGAGAGAAAGGGAGACACGCAGACUCCCAACUCGUCUCCGAAGUCGCCCUCCUGGGUGGAUAGCGUAGAGGCGAGUUCGCCCAAAAGGGCAAGAAAAUGUCUGUUUUUGGGGGGAGAGACCCCGACAACGGAGAAAAACGGUGACACCACUCAGUCGACUCGGAACUCGC
This is a long non-coding RNA of Haliotis rubra (blacklip abalone), 617 nucleotides long. RefSeq lists it as uncharacterized. NCBI's taxonomy places the organism in Eukaryota, Metazoa, Mollusca, Gastropoda, Lepetellida, Haliotidae. The transcript has 3 exons. The record is from RefSeq and is a predicted model, not a curated record.